UUUUUUGACAUUUGAAAUUUGACAAAAACAUGACCAUUCCAUUGCUAUUUGCAAACAGUUUUUAGUAUUGUACUCGUUUUCCGAACAAGAAAUCAUCUACAAUGAAAUCACUAUUCCCAAAGAAUAUUUUAACAUCAAUUCUGCAGUAAUUCUCCAAUGAGUACCUUUGACUGGUGGUUACAAGAAAAUUAAUACCUUUCGGAGUGUCAAAAUAUCAAUUAAGGUUUGAUGAAGACUAAAGCGAGUGUACAUAUCAACUAUUGUAGAGGAAUGUGUAUCUCUACUGUUUUAUAUAUUAUUACUGCCAUAGCUGUCGUAGAUGGAUGUGGUACAGUGCUUUAGUAGCCCAGGAUCCUAAGGAGGGCCACAGUUGAUCAUCACGAUAGCCUUAUAAGGAAUUAGAGUUCAACAAAAGACUGCUUAAAAUUAUUUUAAACAGUUAAUAACAACAACAAACAAAUCAUGUUGCACCGCAGUUCUUGGCCACUUGUCUAUGGUACUUUCCCUUAUGUUCUUCCUUUU
Molecule: long non-coding RNA, 522 nt
Organism: Agrilus planipennis (emerald ash borer)
Lineage: Eukaryota; Metazoa; Arthropoda; Insecta; Coleoptera; Buprestidae
Exons: 3
Source: RefSeq, a predicted model, not a curated record